This is a non-coding RNA of Ciona intestinalis (vase tunicate), 1195 nucleotides long. NCBI's taxonomy places the organism in Eukaryota, Metazoa, Chordata, Ascidiacea, Phlebobranchia, Cionidae. The record is from RefSeq and is a predicted model, not a curated record.
GUAUAUAUCGACGUUGUUAGGUAGAAUUCGACGGCGGUACAGGCAUGAGGAACGGUUUAAUCAAAUAAGAACUUGUAAAUGUACUUUUGUUUAUCUUAGAUUUGUGAACAGCAAGAGUAAACCGUAAAAACCAGCAACGGUCAGUGACUUGCAAAAUGGGAUUUGAUUUUAAACUGUUUGGAAAGAAGCCAACAUCAGUUGUCGGUUAUAUUGAAUGGCUAUAUUUCAUAUAUUGUAUAACAACUGGAAUAUACAUGCUUGACCCUUGGGAACGUACAGUUUUUAAUACCUGUUUGAUCCUGCUUUUGUCAAUGUCCUUCUAUACGGCAUAUGCUUUCUUGCCACAACAUAUCUUUGCCAUGCUUUCACAUUUUGGCCUGAUGGAUACUUGAAAAUCAUCUUUGAGCAACUUAGGCAACUGAAUUAUUGUAUUCAAACUAGAAUGUGUUAUAAAAUUGUAUGCAUAUAAGACUUGCUUUAGUAAAUGCAAGUAUGUUUUCAAGACCUAAACAAUUUAAUAUUUAAAACUGACCUAUUACUCACUUCAUGGCUAUGUUUUAUAUUUUUAUGAACUGCAUCGUGCGAGUUGCAUUGUGUAUAACUUAAAUAAUCUAUGUUUGUUUUAUUUUAAGUUGUUGCAAAAGUAACUGUACUAAUUCACUUUCUUGUUUGUUUUAUAUUUAAAAAGGCUCUGUUCAGUUAUGGACGUUCACCUCUUUUUAUUAUUUAGUCACAUGACACGUUUUUUUUUACAUUUCAACCCUAUUUUUAACUCAACACCAAUACUCUGUGUAUACCUAUUCUCAAUUGUCAACAGUUGUGCAUGGUUCAUAUUGUGUACAUGAUUUCGGUACUUUUGGUCGUUAUUGCAAAUAUGUGGUGGUUUUAAAUUGAUACUAUAUUCAACUGAAACAAGAGAUUUAGUUGGUUUAGAAUUUCUAUUUUUUUCCUUAGCGUAUUAUUUAAAUUUAGAACAAAUGUAAGUGCAAAAGUGAGUACACUAAAUAUUAUAAGUUUAUGUAUGUUAUUGCAAGACUGCAAUACAUGAUUUCAUACCCCUAAUAUUGCAUUGUUCCUUAUUUGUCAUUAUCUAUUUGCCUUCACACUUGAUGCAAUGAAAAUAGAUAACCUGAAAUUAAACGUCAUAGCUGUAUAUCUGUAAAUAGGAAAUAAAGUGCCCGUUUUUAACAUUUAA